UACGUAGGGGGCAAGCGUUAUCCGGAUUUACUGGGUGUAAAGGGUGCGUAGGCGGACUGUUAAGUCAGCGGUAAAAGCCCGGGGCUCAACCCCGGCGAGCCGUUGAAACUGAUGUUCUUGAGUGGGCGAGAAGUAUGCGGAAUGCGUGGUGUAGCGGUGAAAUGCUUAGAUAUCACGCAGAACCCCGAUUGCGAAGGCAGCCUUCCGGCGCCCUACUGACGCUGAGGCACGAAAGUGCGGGGAUCGAACAGG
RNAcentral lists this ribosomal RNA (252 nucleotides) under uncultured Bacteroidales bacterium. RNAcentral's name for it is "partial 16S ribosomal RNA". It matches the Rfam family "Bacterial small subunit ribosomal RNA", at positions 524 to 776 of the family's 1533-position model. Lineage: Bacteria; Pseudomonadati; Bacteroidota; Bacteroidia; Bacteroidales. The record is from RNAcentral.